Molecule: ribosomal RNA, 468 nt
Filed under: uncultured bacterium
Lineage: Bacteria
Description: partial 16S ribosomal RNA
Rfam family: Bacterial small subunit ribosomal RNA
Source: RNAcentral
GACGAACGCUGGCGGCGGGCGGAACACAUGCAAGUCGAACGGAAAGGCCCUGCUUUUGUGGGGUGCUCGAGUGGCGAACGGGUGAGUAACACGUGAGUAACCUGCCCUUGACUUUGGGAUAACUUCAGGAAGCUGGGGCUAAUACCGGAUAGGAGCUCCUGCUGCAUGGUAGGGGUUGGAAAGUUUCGGCGGUUGGGGAUGGACUCGCGGCUUAUCAGCUUGUUGGUGGGGUAGUGGCUUACCAAGGCUUUGACGGGUAGCCGGCCUGAGAGGGUGACCGGCCACAUUGGGACUGAGAUACGGCCCAGACUCCUACGGGAGGCAGCAGUGGGGAAUAUUGCACAAUGGGCGGAAGUCUGAUGCAGCAACGCCGCGUGCGGGAUGACGGCCUUCGGGUUGUAAACCGCUUUCGCCUGUGACGAAGCGUGAGUGACGGUAAUGGGUAAAGAAGCACCGGCUAACUACGUG